GUUGUUUAGUUGAAAAUCAAUUAAAUAGUUUUCGAUUUUAAGUAGUAUUUGACCUUAUCAGCUUGCUGCUUUCUUUUCGGAAAUUAUUUAAUGCACUUUUCAGUUAACAAGUCAACAUCAAUUUCUUUUGUUGUAAAAAGGUAAGAGGAAGGUGGCUUGCGCUUCGGCUCAAGUGUUUAUAGCCUUUUACCCCUGCAAUCGGAGAGAUUGAGGUCUGCAGCGUAGAUCCUUCGGGGUUAGAUACAUUUGUGCUAAGCUAUAGCCUUGUAUAGACAACUUGUUGACUAUGCUCAGUCAUGUAGCUUACUCGCUUAUGUUAUUUUACCUAC
This 329-nucleotide ribosomal RNA is filed under the name uncultured Neocallimastigales. Its description in RNAcentral is "partial large subunit ribosomal RNA". The record is from RNAcentral. Lineage: Eukaryota; Fungi; Neocallimastigomycota; Neocallimastigomycetes; Neocallimastigales.